RNAcentral lists this ribosomal RNA (435 nucleotides) under uncultured bacterium. Its description in RNAcentral is "partial 16S ribosomal RNA". It matches the Rfam family "Bacterial small subunit ribosomal RNA", at positions 29 to 507 of the family's 1533-position model. The record is from RNAcentral.
AGCGAACGCUGGCGGCAGGCUCAACACAUGCAAGUCGAGCGGGCACUUUCGGGUGUCAGCGGCGGACGGGUGAGUAACGCGUGGGAACGUGCCCUCUGGUUCGGAAUAACUCAGGGAAACUUGAGCUAAUACCGGAUACGCCCUUUUGGGGAAAGGCUUGCUGCCGGAGGAUCGGCCCGCGUCUGAUUAGCUAGUUGGUGAGGUAACGGCUCACCAAGGCGACGAUCAGUAGCUGGUCUGAGAGGAUGAUCAGCCACACUGGGACUGAGACACGGCCCAGACUCCUACGGGAGGCAGCAGUGGGGAAUAUUGGACAAUGGGCGCAAGCCUGAUCCAGCCAUGCCGCGUGAGUGAUGAAGGCCUUAGGGUUGUAAAGCUCUUUUAUCCGGGACGAUAAUGACGGUACCGGAGGAAUAAGCCCCGGCUAACUUCGUG